This is a long non-coding RNA of Gasterosteus aculeatus aculeatus (three-spined stickleback), 1358 nucleotides long. RefSeq lists it as uncharacterized. NCBI's taxonomy places the organism in Eukaryota, Metazoa, Chordata, Actinopteri, Perciformes, Gasterosteidae. The record is from RefSeq and is a predicted model, not a curated record.
CCCGCGGAGGCGCUCAACAGGAAUGCGUGAAGGACAUUUCCUAAUUGGCAUUCCGAGGCACGGAAGCAAAGCAGAGGAUGAGAGACGGUUGGGAUCUUCCAGCAGAGCCUUCUGUGUGAAUGAUGUUCUGUGCAGCUUGAAGACGAGCAGAGGGAGAGGCGUGCGUCUACACAAUAUCCAGAUAAUUAAGCUCUGACAUAACGGAGCGCGACGGAUUCACCGGGAAGCCGUUGGCCACGAAAAGGAACGGACGGACGAGCAGACUUUCAUUUUUUUUUUUUGCUACGAGUGUGUGAUGUGCUUUUGAUUGACUGGAGAAUUACUGCCAAACAUAUACGGGGGGUAAACAGAGGGCAAAAGCAGUUUGUUUGUUUGUUUGUUGUUGUUGUUGUGUAGACAUCGGGGGUCCAGGGGUCAGACCGCUGAGGGUGACUUUGACAGCACGCCACAGGGCUCUGGCACAAGACCGAGAGAAGAAAGAAGAAAACGCCACGAGGGAGGGGAAAAGAGAGAAAAGCCGUGAAAAUAAACGCAGACGAGAACAUUUGUGACAAAACAACAAAAAAUAAAUUCAAACAGCUUUUCCUCCAAGGCUCUUUUCUCCAAUCGCCCCUGUCGUAUUCUGCAAAGCUUCGCUGGCCUGUCACAAAAACAAGGUUAGCAGUCUUUUCCCCCCCCGGCUUAGUGGCCCCCUUUCUGUGGCAGAUACAAAAUGUUUUAUCAAACCCUGUUUAUGGAAAUGUCAUGUCUCGCUGCAUAAUAGAGGAGCUAGAGACGGAUGAAAAACAACACCAGAGGCUGACAGGCCGCCAGCGAGGGGAAGUUCCUGCGUUAAAAAUGAGUUCUCAACAAGGGGCUCGGGCAGAAAUGACCGCUCACCUCGGCGUCCCCUCGCGCUUUCACCUUCACCCGCGAGGCCCUGUUUGGGGUUUGGAUCCAUCCAAAAAAAUCAUCCAAAAAAUGUGCCCCAUUUCCAUGAGAGAACCAGAAAAAAAGAAAUGACAGAAAGAAAUGAGAUCUGAUGGCGGAUGUGGGGAACGGGGAGAUGAAACUGUCAAAUAUCUGUGUGAAAAAGCUCUUUAGUUCACUUGCACUAUUUGUAGCGGCAGCCGGCUCGUGCUAGAUUGGAUGCUAACACUGAAUUACACAAGCGAAUUCCUGCAAGUGCUCCGAAUUAACCCAGUUAGCUUUCACAGACUCAACAGUUGCCGUCCCAAUUUCCGAAUGCACCAGAUGUUUGGAUGCUUCGCACCGGGGGACCGGCGAGGACGAGAUCAAACCGGGAAGUUGUCAAUUAUUUGUUGAUUUUCUGAGAAAAUAAUCCAUCUGUCAAAGAAUAAAAGUUUGCUCUUGGAAUA